Homo sapiens (human) is the source of this 928-nucleotide long non-coding RNA. The record is from Ensembl. NCBI's taxonomy places the organism in Eukaryota, Metazoa, Chordata, Mammalia, Primates, Hominidae.
AAAGUGGGCUGGGAUCUGUGAGCCCAGAAAAGCAACGUUCCACCAAAGUCAAGGGAGGCUGGAAUGUCAAAUUGGAGGUGUCUAGGAGUGUCAAAUAUUGCAGAAGGUGUUAAAAAGGACCGAAAAGUGUCUGCUGAGAUUUGCUAUCCAGAAGCACAGCUCAAAAUGGCCUCUGCAGAAUAAAUGGAAUGAGCUAGGUGUGGAACUCCAGGCACAGCGGUCAAUUAAGGGCUGUUCAUUAACAUUUCAAGCACUGCAGAUAGGGCAUUGUGAGAGCAGGGAUGAUGAUGUCUGCAAUGUGCUUGGCCCUUCAUAUGUGUCUGAUCCAGUUUACUUUCGGGGACAUCCGUCAUCACCAUUGGAAUCCAGACACACACCAUGAAACAUAAACAGACUGAGGCCAACAAAGGUGAAGACAGUUGCCUAAAUAACACAGCUUAUUUGCAGAAGAGCUAACAAGCGUUGAGUCGAUACUAUUUUAGCUAUAUUGUGUGACUUUUUGUACCAGAGAACUUACAAAAAUCAUCAGGGCCAGAUGGCCUGCAAGAUAUUGGAUCAUUAGGACAUAAAAAUUAGGUAGAAUCAAGAACGUCGGUGCUCACCCAGUAUGAGGAUCAUACGAAUUGGUGGUUGGAAAAGCAUUGAAAUGUCACUGACUUUGACUGUCAGAUGUGUGGGGUCAGGCAGGCAUGUGUUUCUCGGAUGCUCAUUGUAGCUCUUGCUUAUCCAUUUUUAUUAACUGAUCCAGUGACUCACAAGGAAGUUGGCAUUAUUGUGUGUGGAACAGCAGCAGAGCUUACUAACAUUCUCAGCUACAAAACAAAAAAUAACGAACCAGAGACUUCAGCUCAGUUCUUGUGAUUGGAGUUGUGUUUCCUCCAGAGUGACGAGCAUGGUAUAAGACGCCUCGCCCUGCACCCCAUCACGG